UCGCGCUAAGUGGGGUGCUGGCGGUACCCUGCACCGGCAAUCCGCCUUAGCCGGACCGAAUUCCGUCGCUGAGGUCAAGGUUUUCAGAACCGGCCGCGGCAAACGGCGUUGAAGGUCGGGACCUGCGCAGCCC
Molecule: signal recognition particle RNA, 133 nt
Filed under: Chloroflexota bacterium
Lineage: Bacteria; Bacillati; Chloroflexota
Description: Chloroflexi bacterium partial signal recognition particle sRNA large type
Rfam family: Bacterial large signal recognition particle RNA
About the family: The signal recognition particle (SRP) is a universally conserved ribonucleoprotein involved in the co-translational targeting of proteins to membranes. Archaeal SRP consists of a 7S RNA and homologues of the eukaryotic SRP19 and SRP54 proteins.
Source: RNAcentral